Molecule: ribosomal RNA, 301 nt
Filed under: uncultured bacterium
Lineage: Bacteria
Description: partial 16S ribosomal RNA
Rfam family: Bacterial small subunit ribosomal RNA
Source: RNAcentral
CAGUCGCCGCGGGAAUACGAAGGGUGCAAGCGUUACUCGGAAUUACUGGGCGUAAAGCGUGCGUAGGUGGUGGUUUAAGUCCGUUGUGAAAGCCCUAGGCUCAACCUGGGAAUUGCAGUGGAUACUGGAUCGCUAGAGUGUGGUAGAGGAUAGUGGAAUUUCCGGUGUAGCAGUGAAAUGCGUAGAGAUCGGAAGGAACAUCUGUGGCGAAGGCGACUAUCUGGGCCAACACUGACACUGAGGCACGAAAGCGUGGGGAGCAAACAGGAUUAGAUACUCCAGUAGUCCCUGUCUCUUAUAC